CAUCAAUAUCUAUGGCAUUGUACUGACAAAAACAGUGCUUUUAGGCAUUCCAUGUUUUCUUUUCUGUCUAUUUUAGUCACAUGAUACACACAGGAGGUAGAAUUUGAUUACACAACCAUUGUUUCUAACGACUUUUGAUGGUCUAAUAAUUAUUUCUGUGACUGUAAAUUUCUACACCUUGGAAAUC
Sphaeramia orbicularis (orbiculate cardinalfish) is the source of this 187-nucleotide long non-coding RNA. RefSeq lists it as uncharacterized. NCBI's taxonomy places the organism in Eukaryota, Metazoa, Chordata, Actinopteri, Kurtiformes, Apogonidae. The transcript has 4 exons. The record is from RefSeq and is a predicted model, not a curated record.